UGCAGUCGAGCGGUAACAGGAGGAAGCUUGCUUUCUUGCUGACGAGCGGCGGACGGGUGAGUAAUGUAUGGGGAUCUGCCCGAUAGAGGGGGAUAACUACUGGAAACGGUGGCUAAUACCGCAUAAUGUCUACGGACCAAAGCAGGGGCUCUUCGGACCUUGCACUAUCGGAUGAACCCAUAUGGGAUUAGCUAGUAGGUGGGGUAAAGGCUCACCUAGGCGACGAUCUCUAGCUGGUCUGAGAGGAUGAUCAGCCACACUGGGACUGAGACACGGCCCAGACUCCUACGGGAGGCAGCAGUGGGGAAUAUUGCACAAUGGGCGCAAGCCUGAUGCAGCCAUGCCGCGUGUAUGAAGAAGGCCUUAGGGUUGUAAAGUACUUUCAGCGGGGAGGAAGGUGAUAAGGUUAAUACCCUUAUCAAUUGACGUUACCCGCAGAAGAAGCACCGGCUAACUCCGUGCC
RNAcentral lists this ribosomal RNA (463 nucleotides) under Proteus mirabilis. RNAcentral describes it as "bacterial SSU rRNA". It matches the Rfam family "Bacterial small subunit ribosomal RNA", at positions 56 to 509 of the family's 1533-position model. The record is from RNAcentral. Lineage: Bacteria; Pseudomonadati; Pseudomonadota; Gammaproteobacteria; Enterobacterales; Morganellaceae.